GAUAUCAAUCUCUAGUGCUCCGAUUUCUAGUAGUGUUCAGUAACAGUAGUUCAAAUUUCACUGGAUUCAAACAAGAUCACAACUUUUGCACCUUGACCAAAUGUUUGUAUAGCAAAUGGAUUUAAAUCUUCUUGCACAUGAACAUUGAUUGAAUGUUUAAAGUAAACCAAUAUCCUUAGGGUUUAGGGAAACAAAACACAUUUAAGCACAUUGCUUUAAGCACAUUUACUUCAAGGAGGAAAUAUAUGAAACACAAGUGAGUCUAGUUUACUUCAUAGAUAGUUUAUUCCACAAAUUUCCAAUGAUCAUACAAGAAAGAGUAUACAAUGCACCUAUGAUGUACAUACAAGGAAACAUUUCAAUGGAUUGUACCGCCAUGCACAGCAACCGAUAAGAUAAGUUUGACAAAAUGAAAUACUGAUCGGAACAUGUUACAGUACUCUUACAAGUGUUGAACUAUGAAUGACCACAUUGAUUUUUUGCAGUUAUCAGAGGAGAGAUAUUUACAUCUAGAUAUAUGGACAGUGCAUGGUGACCAGAGGACCAUAAAUGCAUCCAGAUAAAUGGCCAGUUGUGACCAUGCAGAGGCAGUGUCUGUUAAAAUUCAUCGAUGGCAAUUAUGGAGAACUCUUGCUCACAUGAACUCAUGAACGAAAAGUUUGAAUGAGCUAUAACAAAUACAAGUGGUGUGAUUGAGGAGAAGUCAGAUGGUAGGACAAUUCUGUAGACUGAUUUUGUACAACUGGAUGUGCUAAACAAGCACCCAGACCUGCUGUCCCCCACAAAAGCACCCAUGUCGACCAAACAGAACCAAGCCUGUCGGCACAUUGACCCUGCCUCCGAGCUUCAUAUUGCGGAAAUCAUGAAACAAGCGAUCCCACGCCAGUCCUCUUGCCGCCUGUGACAACAGCAGUAAGUCAAACUGACUCCUGUCUAGAGUCAACAUUGCUCAUUCCCAUGCACCCACUGUCUGCCAAACAUCCAGGUCGUAUACCAAGCAAUAAGGUGCAGGCAAAGUUUAAUAUUAAAGCUACACUGAUUGAGGUCAAGCGAGCUUAUGACUAGAAGCCUCGUCUAUCAAGUUUGAGUGCGUCCGUAUUUACUUCGAGUCGUACGUAUUUUUUACCUCUGAAUAAUGUGGCCCAAUUUAAUUUAAAGUUCACAGAAAUUUUGCAUUUAGCCGGUCGUCUACCAAAUGUGCUCAAAUAUGAUCCGCUCAAUUUAACAUAAACUGUUUAAACGCCAUAACUAUUCUUAAAUUUACCCUGGGGAAAUGUUACUAUAAUUUAACAGACAUGAUCCUUGAAUGAGUGGUCCUCUAUCCAAUGAAUUUUGCAUUAAUGAUUCCACUCCUUCGAAUACUCACGGUAACGCAAAAAUUCCGUAUACAAUGUAUUUCUACAUUGAAACUUUUGAAAUCUAUACUUCUGGAAUCCUCUUGAUAGAUUUCCAAAU
Molecule: long non-coding RNA, 1455 nt
Organism: Dreissena polymorpha
Lineage: Eukaryota; Metazoa; Mollusca; Bivalvia; Myida; Dreissenidae
Exons: 5
Source: RefSeq, a predicted model, not a curated record